GAUGAACGCUGGCGGCGUGCCUAAUACAUGCAAGUCGAGCGAACGGACGAGAAGCUUGCUUCUCUGAUGUUAGCGGCGGACGGGUGAGUAACACGUGGAUAACCUACCUAUAAGACUGGGAUAACUUCGGGACACCGGAGCUAAUACCGGAUAAUAUUUUGAACCGCAUGGUUCAAAAGUGAAAGACGCUAUUGCUGUCACUUAUAGAUGGAUCCGCGCUGCAUUAGCUAGUUGGUAAGGUAACGGCUUACCAAGGCAACGAUGCAUAGCCGACCUGAGAGGGUGAGCGGCCACACUGGAACUGAGACAGGGUCCAGACUCCGACGUGAGGCAGCAGUAGGGAAUCGUCCGCAAUGGGCGAAAGCCUGACGGAGCAACGCCGCGUGAGUGAUGAAGGUCUUCGGAGCGUAAAACUCUGUGAUUAGGGAAGAACAUAUGUUUAAGUAACUGUGCACAUCUUGACGGUACCUAAGCAGAAAGCCACGGCUAACUACGGG
Molecule: ribosomal RNA, 497 nt
Filed under: uncultured bacterium
Lineage: Bacteria
Description: partial 16S ribosomal RNA
Rfam family: Bacterial small subunit ribosomal RNA
Source: RNAcentral